RNAcentral lists this signal recognition particle RNA (299 nucleotides) under Aotus nancymaae (Ma's night monkey). RNAcentral's name for it is "Metazoan signal recognition particle RNA (ENSANAG00000007811.1)". It matches the Rfam family "Metazoan signal recognition particle RNA". Rfam says of the family: The signal recognition particle (SRP) is a universally conserved ribonucleoprotein. It is involved in the co-translational targeting of proteins to membranes. The record is from RNAcentral. Lineage: Eukaryota; Metazoa; Chordata; Mammalia; Primates; Aotidae.
GCCGGGCACGGUGGUGCGUACCUGUAGUCCCAGCUACUCGGGAGGCUGAGGUGGGAGGAUCACUUGAGCCCAGGAGUUCUGGGCUGUAGCGCGCUAUGCCGAUCGGGUGUCCGCACUAAGUUCGGCAUCAAUAUGGUGACCUCCCGGGAGUGGGAGACCACCAGGUUGCCUAAGGAGGGAUGAACCGGCCCAGGUCGGAAAUGGAGCAGGUCAAAACCCCCAUGCUGAUCAGUAAUGGGAUCAUGCCUGUGAAUAGCCACUGCACUCUAGCCUGGACAACAUAGCGAGACCCCAUCUCU